Molecule: ribosomal RNA, 245 nt
Filed under: uncultured bacterium
Lineage: Bacteria
Description: partial 16S ribosomal RNA
Rfam family: Bacterial small subunit ribosomal RNA
Source: RNAcentral
UACAGAGGCCUCGAGCGUUAGGCGGAAUCACUGGGCUUAAAGCGUGUGUAGGUGGAUGCCUAAGUGUUUUGUGAAAUCCCACGGCUUAACCGUGGAAUUGCUUGACAUACUGGGUGUCUUGAGCCACUCAGGGGCUACCGGAACAAAUGGUGGAGCGGUGAAAUGCGUAGAUAUCAUUUGGAACGCCAAUGGUGAAAACAGGUAGCUGGGGGUGUGCUGACACUGAGACACGAAAGCCAGGGGAG